GCUGAUUUAAGGUCAAAUAAGCAGUGAUUUUAAAGGUGCACUGUGUAGGGUUUAGAGACAUCUAGUGGUGAGAUUGCAGCCAUCUGAAUACCCCUCCUUUUUCAAGUGUUUGUAUGAUAAC
This is a long non-coding RNA of Clupea harengus (Atlantic herring), 121 nucleotides long. RefSeq lists it as uncharacterized. The transcript is spliced from 2 exons. NCBI's taxonomy places the organism in Eukaryota, Metazoa, Chordata, Actinopteri, Clupeiformes, Clupeidae. The record is from RefSeq and is a predicted model, not a curated record.